GAGUCAACAUAGCAAUAUGUGGCAUACGGCUCAGUAACACGUAGUCAACAUGCCCAGGGGACGUGGAUAACCUCGGGAAACCGAGGAUAAACCGCGAUAGGUCAUCACUUCUGGAAUGGGUAAUGACUUAAAUCUAUAUGGCCCCUGGAUUGGACUGCGGCCGAUCAGGCUGUUGGUGAGGUAAUGGCCCACCAAACCUGUAACCGGUACGGGCUCUGAGAGGAGGAGCCCGGAGAUGGGCACUGAGACAAGGGCCCAGGCCCUAUGGGGCGCAGCAGGCGCGAAACCUCUGCAAUAGGCGAAAGCUUGACAGGGUUACUCUGAGUGAUUUCCGUUAAGGAGAUCUUUUGGCACCUCUAAAAAUGGUGCAGAAUAAGGGGUGGGCAAGUCUGGUGUCAGCCGCCGCGGUAAUACCAGCACCCCGAGUGGUCGGGACGUUUAUUGGGCCUAAAGCAUCCGUAGCCGGUUCUACAAGUCUUCCGUUAAAUCCACCUGCUUAACAGAUGGGCUGCGGAAGAUACUAUAGAGCUAGGAGGCGGGAGAGGCAAGCGGUACUCGAUGGGUAGGGGUAAAAUCCGUUGAUCCAUUGAAGACCACCAGUGGCGAAGGCGGCUUGCCAGAACGCGCUCGACGGUGAGGGAUGAAAGCUGGGGGAGCAAACCGGAUUAGAUACCCGGGUAGUCCCAGCUGUAACCGAUGCACACUCGGUGAUGAGUUGGCUUAUUGCUAACUCAGUGCCGCAGGGAAGCCGUUAAGUUUGCCGCCUGGGGAGUACGGUCGCAAGACUGAA
Molecule: ribosomal RNA, 790 nt
Filed under: uncultured archaeon
Lineage: Archaea
Description: bacterial SSU rRNA
Rfam family: Archaeal small subunit ribosomal RNA
Source: RNAcentral